This is a long non-coding RNA of Medicago truncatula (barrel medic), 596 nucleotides long. RefSeq lists it as uncharacterized. The transcript has 2 exons. The record is from RefSeq and is a predicted model, not a curated record. NCBI's taxonomy places the organism in Eukaryota, Viridiplantae, Streptophyta, Magnoliopsida, Fabales, Fabaceae.
CAAAUAUAAAUUGUCCAACCCGCUACUUCUUCCAAAAAACCAUAUCCAUAAACUCUCUUACGGCAAUCUCCCUUCCAUCAUCACAACUCUUUUCUCUCACGGCAACCUCUCUUGGCUCUCUCCCUCACGGCUCUCUUUCUUUCUCUCCUGUGAUUCUUUCUCCAUGUAUUUAUAUUCUACACAUUUUAAGCUUUCCGGGGAAUGUCUAUUAACUCAAUUGGACAUUGUUUGAUAUUUUAAUUAAAUAGACAAAGUUGAAGUCCGGCUACUAACAAACUGAAUUUUGGGACUGAUUCGGUAGAAUUGUAUACACACAAGGUAUUUGAUUAAUUCAUAUAUAUAAAUUUUAUGAUUGUUCAUAUAUGAGUGUUUCUGUUUGUGAUAUCUGAGAUUGAAUAUGUUAGUUACACUUUGUUUGGAUAAACAACAACUUAACCAAGCGCUUAUGUUAUAAGUUUUUUUUAUCAUAUAAGUGUCUAUUUAUAAGAGCCCCGCAGACAAAUCUAUGGAUCUCCCUAAAGACUUUGUUUUUGAGGAAUUACAGGUAUCAUAUUGUUGUUGAUGUUUGUUGGCAUAUAAAUGAUUUUACUCAUACA